AGUGAACGCUGGCGGUAGGCCUAACACAUGCAAGUCGAACGGCAGCACAGGAGAGCUUGCUCUCUGGGUGGCGAGUGGCGGACGGGUGAGGAAUACAUCGGAAUCUGCCCAGUCGUGGGGGAUAACGUAGGGAAACUUACGCUAAUACCGCAUACGACCUUCGGGUGAAAGAGGGGGAUCGCAAGACCUCUCGCGAUUGGAGGAGCCGAUGUCGGAUUAGCUAGUUGGCGGGGUAAUGGCCCACCAAGGCGACGAUCCGUAGCUGGUCUGAGAGGAUGAUCAGCCACACUGGAACUGAGACACGGUCCAGACUCCUACGGGAGGCAGCAGUGGGGAAUAUUGGACAAUGGGCGCAAGCCUGACCCAGCCAUACCGCGUGGGUGAAGAAGGCCUUCGGGUUGUAAAGCCCUUUUGUUGGGAAAGAAAUCUUUCAGGCUAAUACCCUGGGAGGAUGACGGUACCCAAAGAAUAAGCACCGGCUAACUUCGUG
RNAcentral lists this ribosomal RNA (490 nucleotides) under uncultured bacterium. RNAcentral describes it as "partial 16S ribosomal RNA". It matches the Rfam family "Bacterial small subunit ribosomal RNA", at positions 29 to 507 of the family's 1533-position model. The record is from RNAcentral.